Small nuclear RNA from Sorex araneus (European shrew), 105 nucleotides. NCBI's taxonomy places the organism in Eukaryota, Metazoa, Chordata, Mammalia, Eulipotyphla, Soricidae. The record is from RefSeq and is a predicted model, not a curated record.
AUGCUCGCUUUGGCAGCACAUAUACUAAAAUCGGAAUGAUACAGAGAAGGUUAGCAUGGCCUCUGUGCAAGGACUCCUAUUUAAAGAAAGGAAAUUAAGUGCAUU